CGUGUGCGAGUGUUGUCUACAGUGGAUACUAAAUGCGCGUGUGAUGUGUAUUACAUGCAAAGAAGCCGCUUGGUCACAUGACGUUCUCACGUGACCGCUGAAGCUGUGAAUUUGUGUGUGUUGACUCUGGCGUGGCAUUUCUCGAGCAGCCAUUAUCUGACAAUGUUGUCUGUGAUUUUAUAUUCACGGUUAUUUCUGUUGCGCGCACACACGGAAUUUGAGGGACAAAUAAUUUUGAGAGUGCAGGAUGGGGAGAGGUGAAAGGAGGAUAAGACUGAUGAAGAGCGAACAGGAAUUUUUGUCUAGGAGCAACCUGUCAAAUCACAGCGUCGCCUAUCGUCACAGCACACGACGCUCCCUGGUGGGACCAUGACUCUCUUUAACAAGCUUAGCGCACCCCGGUGCGACCAUGGCUCUCUAUAUCAAGCUUAGCGCCCCUGGUGAGACCGCACCAUUCUAUAUGAAGCCAGAAUCCCGAGAUGUAGUGCGAGGAUCUCUUCUACACCCUGGUCACUCCUACUCAUUAU
This is a long non-coding RNA of Priapulus caudatus, 527 nucleotides long. RefSeq lists it as uncharacterized. The record is from RefSeq and is a predicted model, not a curated record. The transcript has 3 exons. Lineage: Eukaryota; Metazoa; Priapulida; Priapulimorpha; Priapulimorphida; Priapulidae.